Molecule: ribosomal RNA, 377 nt
Filed under: Staphylococcus saprophyticus
Lineage: Bacteria; Bacillati; Bacillota; Bacilli; Caryophanales; Staphylococcaceae
Description: partial 16S ribosomal RNA
Rfam family: Bacterial small subunit ribosomal RNA
Source: RNAcentral
UGGGAUAACUUCGGGAAACCGGAGCUAAUACCGGAUAACAUUUGGAACCGCAAGGUUCUANAGUGAAAGAUGGUUUUGCUAUCACUUAUAGAUGGACCCGCGCCGUNNUNNNUAGUUGGUAAGGUAACGGCUUACCAAGGCGACGAUACGUNNNCGNCCUGAGAGGGUGAUCGGCCACACUGGAACUGNNNCACGGUCCAGACUCCUACGGGAGGCAGCAGUAGGGAAUCUUCCGCAAUGGGCGAAAGCCUGACGGAGCAACGCCGCGUGAGUGAUGAAGGGUUUCGGCUCGUAAAACUCUGUUAUUAGGGAAGAACAAAUGUGUAAGUAACUGUGCACGUCUUGACGGUACCUAAUCAGAAAGCCACGGCUAACUA